AUUGAACGCUGGCGGAAUGCUUUACACGUGCAAGUCGAACGGUAGAGGGGGCAACCCCUCGAGAGAGGCGAACGGGUGAGUAAUAUAUCGGAACGUGCCCAGUCGUGGGGGAUAACGUAGCGAAAGUUACGCUAAUACCGCAUACGAUCUAAGGAUGAAAGCGGGGGAUCGCAAGACCUCGCGCGAUUGGAGCGGCCGAUAUCAGAUUAGGUAGUUGGUGGGGUAAAGGCUCACCAAGCCAACGAUCUGUAGCUGGUCUGAGAGGACGACCAGCCACACUGGAACUGAGACACGGUCCAGACUCCUACGGGAGGCAGCAGUGGGGAAUUUUGGACAAUGGACGCAAGUCUGAUCCAGCCAUUCCGCGUGCAGGAUGAAGGCCCUCGGGUUGUAAACUGCUUUUGUACGGAACGAAAAGGUCUCUCUUAAUACGGGGGGCUCAUGACGGUACCGUAAGAAUAAGCACCGGCUAACUACGUGCCAGCAGCCGCCGUAA
Molecule: ribosomal RNA, 496 nt
Filed under: uncultured bacterium
Lineage: Bacteria
Description: partial 16S ribosomal RNA
Rfam family: Bacterial small subunit ribosomal RNA
Source: RNAcentral